GGAGGUGGCUCGUGCUUCUACUGCAGUCGAGCGGACAGAAGGGAGCUUGCUCCCGGAUGUUAGCGGCGGACGGGUGAGUAACACGUGGGUAACCUGCCUGUAAGACUGGGAUAACUCCGGGAAACCGGAGCUAAUACCGGAUAGUUCCUUGAACCGCAUGGUUCAAGGAUGAAAGACGGUUUCGGCUGUCACUUACAGAUGGACCCGCGGCGCAUUAGCUAGUUGGUGAGGUAACGGCUCACCAAGGCGACGAUGCGUAGCCGACCUGAGAGGGUGAUCGGCCACACUGGGACUGAGACACGGCCCAGACUCCUACGGGAGGCAGCAGUAGGGAAUCUUCCGCAAUGGACGAAAGUCUGACGGAGCAACGCCGCGUGAGUGAUGAAGGUUUUCGGAUCGUAAAGCUCUGUUGUUAGGGAAGAACAAGUGCAAGAGUAACUGCUUGCACCUUGACGGUACCUAACCAGAAAGCCACGGCUAACUACGUGCCAGCAGCCGCGGUAAUACGUAGGUGGCAAGCGUUGUCCGGAAUUAUUGGGCGUAAAGGGCUCGCAGGCGGUUUCUUAAGUCUGAUGUGAAAGCCCCCGGCUCAACCGGGGAGGGUCAUUGGAAACUGGGAAACUUGAGUGCAGAAGAGGAGAGUGGAAUUCCACGUGUAGCGGUGAAAUGCGUAGAGAUGUGGAGGAACACCAGUGGCGAAGGCGACUCUCUGGUCUGUAACUGACGCUGAGGAGCGAAAGCGUGGGGAGCGAACAGGAUUAGAUACCCUGGUAGUCCACGCCGUAACGAUGAGUGCUAAG
RNAcentral lists this ribosomal RNA (800 nucleotides) under Bacillus sp. JSM 2215087. Its description in RNAcentral is "bacterial SSU rRNA". It matches the Rfam family "Bacterial small subunit ribosomal RNA", at positions 35 to 820 of the family's 1533-position model. Lineage: Bacteria; Bacillati; Bacillota; Bacilli; Caryophanales; Bacillaceae. The record is from RNAcentral.